RNAcentral lists this ribosomal RNA (252 nucleotides) under uncultured prokaryote. RNAcentral's name for it is "partial 16S rRNA". It matches the Rfam family "Bacterial small subunit ribosomal RNA", at positions 525 to 775 of the family's 1533-position model. The record is from RNAcentral.
ACGUAGGGUGCAAGCGUUGUCCGGAUUUACUGGGCGUAAAGAGCGCGUAGGCGGUCUGCUAAGUGAGAAGUGAAAUCUCCAGGGCUCAACCCGGAAAUUGCUUUUCAUACUGACAGGCUGGAGGAGUGCAGAGGUAUGUGGAAUUCCUGGUGUAGCGGUGAAAUGCGUUGAUAUCAGGAGGAACACCGAUGGCGAAGGCAGCAUACUGGGCACUAUCUGACGCUGAGGCGCGUAAGCGUGGGUAGCAAACAG